UGGGUAGGGGAGCGUUCUGUAAGCCUGUGAAGGUGGCCUGUGAGGGUUGCUGGAGGUAUCAGAAGUGCGAAUGCUGACAUAAGUAACGAUAAAGCGGGUGAAAAGCCCGCUCGCCGGAAGACCAAGGGUUCCUGUCCAACGUUAAUCGGGGCAGGGUGAGUCGACCCCUAAGGCGAGGCCGAAAGGCGUAGUCGAUGGGAAACAGGUUAAUAUUCCUGUACUUGGUGUUACUGCGAAGGGGGGACGGAGAAGGCUAUGUUGGCCGGGCGACGGUUGUCCCGGUUUAAGCGUGUAGGUGUGUGUUCCAGGUAAAUCCGGUUCACUUUAACACUGAGGCGUGACGACGAGGCACUACGGUGCUGAAGCAACAAAUGCCCUGCUUCCAGGAAAAGCCUCUAAGCAUCAGGUAACAUCAAAUCGUACCCCAAACCGACACAGGUGGUCAGGUAGAGAAUACCAAGGCGCUUGAGAGAACUCGGGUGAAGGAACUAGGCAAAAUGGUGCCGUAACUUCGGGAGAAGGCACGCUGACACGUAGGUGAAGUGAUUUACUCACGGAGCUGAAGUCAGUCGAAGAUACCAGCUGGCUGCAACUGUUUAUUAAAAACACAGCACUGUGCAAACACGAAAGUGGACGUAUACGGUGUGACGCCUGCCCGGUGCCGGAAGGUUAAUUGAUGGGGUCAGCGCAAGCGAAGCUCCUGAUCGAAGCCCCGGUAAACGGCGGCCGUAACUAUAACGGUCCUAAGGUAGCGAAAUUCCUUGUCGGGUAAGUUCCGACCUGCACGAAUGGCGUAAUGAUGGCCAGGCUGUCUCCACCCGAGACUCAGUGAAAUUGAACUCGCUGUGAAGAUGCAGUGUACCCGCGGCAAGACGGAAAGACCCCGUGAACCUUUACUAUAGCUUGACACUGAACAUUGAGCCUUGAUGUGUAGGAUAGGUGGGAGGCUUUGAAGUGUGGACGCCAGUCUGCAUGGAGCCGACCUUGAAAUACCACCCUUUAAUGUUUGAUGUUCUAACGUGGACCCGUAAUCCGGGUUGCGGACAGUGUCUGGUGGGUAGUUUGACUGGGGCGGUCUCCUCCUAAAGAGUAACGGAGGAGCACGAAGGUUGGCUAAUCCUGGUCGGACAUCAGGAGGUUAGUGCAAUGGCAUAAGCCAGCUUGACUGCGAGCGUGACGGCGCGAGCAGGUGCGAAAGCAGGUCAUAGUGAUCCGGUGGUUCUGAAUGGAAGGGCCAUCGCUCAACGGAUAAAAGGUACUCCGGGGAUAACAGGCUGAUACCGCCCAAGAGUUCAUAUCGACGGCGGUGUUUGGCACCUCGAUGUCGGCUCAUCACAUCCUGGGGCUGAAGUAGGUCCCAAGGGUAUGGCUGUUCGCCAUUUAAAGUGGUACGCGAGCUGGGUUUAGAACGUCGUGAGACAGUUCGGUCCCUAUCUGCCGUGGGCGCUGGAGAACUGAGGGGGGCUGCUCCUAGUACGAGAGGACCGGAGUGGACGCAUCACUGGUGUUCGGGUUGUCAUGCCAAUGGCACUGCCCGGUAGCUAAAUGCGGAAGAGAUAAGUGCUGAAAGCAUCUAAGCACGAAACUUGCCCCGAGAUGAGUUCU
RNAcentral lists this ribosomal RNA (1605 nucleotides) under Salmonella enterica. RNAcentral's name for it is "bacterial LSU rRNA". It matches the Rfam family "Bacterial large subunit ribosomal RNA", at positions 1225 to 2812 of the family's 2925-position model. Lineage: Bacteria; Pseudomonadati; Pseudomonadota; Gammaproteobacteria; Enterobacterales; Enterobacteriaceae. The record is from RNAcentral.